GGCCAGUUAGCUCAGUCAGUUGAGCGUGGUGCUGAUAACACCAAGGUUGUGGGUUCAGUUCCCAUUCGGUCCU
Molecule: transfer RNA, 73 nt
Filed under: Apaloderma vittatum (bar-tailed trogon)
Lineage: Eukaryota; Metazoa; Chordata; Aves; Trogoniformes; Trogonidae
Rfam family: tRNA
About the family: Transfer RNA (tRNA) molecules are approximately 80 nucleotides in length. Their secondary structure includes four short double-helical elements and three loops (D, anti-codon, and T loops). Further hydrogen bonds mediate the characteristic L-shaped molecular structure. tRNAs have two regions of fundamental functional importance: the anti-codon, which is responsible for specific mRNA codon recognition, and the 3' end, to which the tRNAs corresponding amino acid is attached (by aminoacyl-tRNA synthetases). tRNAs cope with the degeneracy of the genetic code in two manners: having more than one tRNA (with a specific anti-codon) for a particular amino acid; and 'wobble' base-pairing, i.e. permitting non-standard base-pairing at the 3rd anti-codon position.
Source: Rfam by way of RNAcentral